This 257-nucleotide ribosomal RNA is filed under the name uncultured bacterium. RNAcentral's name for it is "partial 16S ribosomal RNA". It matches the Rfam family "Bacterial small subunit ribosomal RNA", at positions 333 to 607 of the family's 1533-position model. The record is from RNAcentral.
UUCUCCCUACGGGGGGCAGCAGUGGGGAAUAUUGCACAAUGGCGGGAACCCUGAUGCAGCAAUGCCGCGUGGGUGAAGAAGCACUCCGGUGCGUAAAGCCCUGUCAGCAGGGAAGAAAAUGACAGUACCUGGACAAGAAGCCCCGGCUAACUACGUGCCAGCAGCCGCGGGAAUACGUAGGGGGCAAGCGUUAUCCGGAUUUACUGGGUGUAAAGGGAGCGUAGGUGGCAUGGUAAGCCAGAAGUGAAAACCCAGGG